CCGCCGUCCGCGCCGGCCUCAUCACCGGGAAAGUGCUUCUGAAGCCAGAGCAGUGGCAUCCGGUGCUGCCACCUAUCGACUUUGGUUCUCCGGCAGCGACUCUGGCUCCAGGGGGCGACGCUGCCGAGACGCUCGCUGGCUUUCAGGGUGCUUCCGAUGGCUCUCACGGCCGCCGGGGGGAGCUGUAACGACGGCACAUGUCCUCCGCGGCGUCGUGGUGCAGCAGCCUGCUGCUCCGGUCGGAGAUCAGAACAGAACAGAGAUCCGUGUACAGAGGUCUCCAGCAUCCGAGUAUGGCUUUCAUGUGGCCGACAGUUUCCUCGGCAAUGUGGAUCUCCUCGGAUUCUAAUUAG
Pollicipes pollicipes is the source of this 353-nucleotide long non-coding RNA. RefSeq lists it as uncharacterized. NCBI's taxonomy places the organism in Eukaryota, Metazoa, Arthropoda, Thecostraca, Pollicipedomorpha, Pollicipedidae. The transcript is spliced from 3 exons. The record is from RefSeq and is a predicted model, not a curated record.